UUUUCAGGUGGUGUAAGAAUGACGUAUGGUGCUGAUACAGGUGUGAAACAACAUUUUAUAGCAAGAACACUGAAGCAGCAAGACAAGACCAACCUGGGAGAUGAAUGCAGUAUAAAACAACUUUAUCAAGGCCGACUUAAAAAUAUCUAGGAGUAGAUGAAGGGUCCGCAGUAAAGUCUCAACAAAUGAGAAGAAAGCUUAGUUAUGAAUAUUUCGGAAGAAUAAAUCUAAUACAGAGCACAGCCUUAACAUCCUGGAAUAAAGUUCAAGGACCCAACUGCCUAAAAUGGGACUGUCCAUUCCAAAGAAGAACAGGUAGGAACUCUAAUACUCAAAAGAUAAUCCAUCAUUUUAUCUCUACAACUAAACACAGGUUGACUUAACUUGGAGGAAACUAACUGCAGCUAAAAAUAUCACUUGAUGGAAAAGUAUUCAAAAAAGGUUUAGAACAAAUGCAGAAUGCUAAUGAAUGAGAGAAAUCAACCAGUAAAUGUGGAAAGCCCCAGAAAUGUAGCCUGUGCCACAAACUGUGGGAACCAAUUUCCUUAGUCUGUCAUUUUCUUAGCUGGAUAUGAUAUGAUGGCCUGAAUCAUUCUAAUAAUGACUACAUAUUUAAAAAUAUGCUUGUGUUGCUGAAAAGCCCUGGAAACUUAAAAAAAAAAAACAGUUGAUACGUCAGGAAACAUUUUUGCAGAUUUUUUUUCUCUUAGAUGUUUGAACUUGUCAUUGCAAGUAAAUCAGAACUCUAAAGUAUAUAACAGUAUGUGUUUUUUUUCGUACUAGAGUAAUAUGAAAGCAAAAUGUUUUGUUUAAAAGUAGAUUAUACUGCAGCAUUGAACUGAAUCAGUAUAUUAUGCUAACUGUAGUAUGCUAUGUGAUUAUGUGAUUCCAACAGCUGGAGUCCUGUACAAAUGUUAAAAUGAUAUCUACUGUUCAAAUGGCAUGCACUUCAUAGAUAUUAAAGUUACUUAAAAUCAUA
Molecule: long non-coding RNA, 979 nt
Organism: Protopterus annectens (West African lungfish)
Lineage: Eukaryota; Metazoa; Chordata; Ceratodontiformes; Protopteridae
Exons: 3
Source: RefSeq, a predicted model, not a curated record